UUGGUUCUGGCAUCGAUGAAGAACGCAGCGAAAUGCGAUAAGUAAUGUGAAUUGCAGAAUUCAGUGAAUCAUCGAAUCUUUGAACGCACAUUGCGCCCUCUGGUAUUCCGGAGGGCAUGCCUGUUCGAGCGUCAUUUCAACCCUCAAGCCUGGCUUGGUGAUGGGGCACUGCUUCUUACCCAAGGAGCAGGCCCUGAAAUUCAGUGGCGAGCUCGCCAGGACCCCGAGCGCAGUAGUUAAACCCUCGCUUUGGAAGGCCCUGGCGGUGCCCUGCCGUUAAACCCCCCAACUUCUGAAAAUUUGACCUCGGAUCAGGUAGGAAUACCCGCUGAACUUAAGCAUAUCAAUAAGCGGAGGAAAAGAAACCAACAGGGAUUGCCCUAGUAACGGCGAGUGAAGCGGCAACAGCUCAAAUUUGAAAUCUGGCCUCGGCCCGAGUUGUAAUUUGCAGAGGAUGCUUCUGGCGCGGUGCCUUCCGAGUUCCCUGGAACGGGACGCCACAGAGGGUGAGAGCCCCGUAUGGUCGGACACCAAGCCUGUGUGAAGCUCCUUCGACGAGUCGAGUAGUUUGGGAAUGCUGCUCUAAAUGGGAGGUAAAUCUCUUCUAAAGCUAAAUACCGGCCAGAGACCGAUAGCGCACAAGUAGAGUGAUCGAAAGAUGAAAAGCACCUUGAAAAGGGGGUUAAAUAGUACGUGAAAUUGUUGAAAGGGAAGCACUUAUGACCAGACUUGGGCCGGGCGGCUCAUCAGGGGUUCUCCCCUGUGCACUCCGCCCGGCACAGGCCAGCAUCGGUUCUCGUGGGGGGAUAAGACCGUCAGGAACGUAGCACCCUCCGGGGUGUGUUAUAGCCUGGCGGACGAUACCCCCGUGGGGACCGAGGUCCGCGCUCCGCAAGGAU
This 899-nucleotide ribosomal RNA is filed under the name Phomopsis sp. 1C9322. Its description in RNAcentral is "eukaryotic LSU rRNA". The stretch from base 302 to 899 matches the Rfam family "Eukaryotic large subunit ribosomal RNA", at positions 1 to 611 of the family's 3401-position model. Lineage: Eukaryota; Fungi; Ascomycota; Sordariomycetes; Diaporthales; Diaporthaceae. The record is from RNAcentral.